CGUAUCACUUAAAGCGAUUCAGCGGGUUACGAUUGACGGAGCGAAGCGACGUCAAAGCGUAUACAAAGUCGAGUCGGUUUAAGGAUACGUUCGUUGGGUAGGGGAGCGUUCUGUAAGCCUGUGAAGGUGGCCUGUGAGGGUUGCUGGAGGUAUCAGAAGUGCGAAUGCUGACAUAAGUAACGAUAAAGCGGGUGAAAAGCCCGCUCGCCGGAAGACCAAGGGUUCCUGUCCAACGUUAAUCGGGGCAGGGUGAGUCGACCCCUAAGGCGAGGCCGAAAGGCGUAGUCGAUGGGAAACGGGUUAAUAUUCCCGUACUUGGUGUUACUGCGAAGGGGGGACGGAGAAGGCUAUGUUGGCCGGGCGACGGUUGUCCCGGUUUAAGCGUGUAGGUGUGUGUUCCAGGUAAAUCCGGUUCACUUUAACACUGAGGCGUGAUGACGAGGCACUACGGUGCUGAAGUAACAAAUGCCCUGCUUCCAGGAAAAGCCUCUAAGCAUCAGGUAACAUCAAAUCGUACCCCAAACCGACACAGGUGGUCAGGUAGAGAAUACCAAGGCGCUUGAGAGAACUCGGGUGAAGGAACUAGGCAAAAUGGUGCCGUAACUUCGGGAGAAGGCACGCUGACAC
This 627-nucleotide ribosomal RNA is filed under the name Salmonella enterica. RNAcentral describes it as "partial 23S ribosomal RNA". It matches the Rfam family "Bacterial large subunit ribosomal RNA", at positions 1154 to 1757 of the family's 2925-position model. RNAcentral also lists the same sequence under 2 other names. Lineage: Bacteria; Pseudomonadati; Pseudomonadota; Gammaproteobacteria; Enterobacterales; Enterobacteriaceae. The record is from RNAcentral.